GACGAACGCUGGCGGCGUGCUUAACACAUGCAAGUCGAACGGAAAGGCCCUGCUUUUGUGGGGUGCUCGAGUGGCGAACGGGUGAGUAGCACGUGAGUAACCUGCCCUUGACUUUGGGAUAACUUCAGGAAACUGGGGCUAAUACCGGAUAGGAGCUCCUGCUGCAUGGUGGGGGUUGGAAAGUUUCGGCGGUUGGGGAUGGACUCGCGGCUUAUCAGCUUGUUGGUGGGGUAGAGGCUUACCAAGGCUUUGACGGGUAGCCGGCCUGAGAGGGUGACCGGCCACAUUGGGACUGAGAUACGGCCCAGACUCCUACGGGAGGCAGCAGUGGGGAAUAUUGCACAAUGGGCGGAAGCCUGAUGCAGCAACGCCGCGUGCGGGAUGACGGCCUUCGGGUUGUAAACCGCUUUCGCCUGUGACGAAGCGUGAGUGACGGUAAUGGGUAAAGAAGCACCGGCUAACUACGUG
Molecule: ribosomal RNA, 468 nt
Filed under: uncultured bacterium
Lineage: Bacteria
Description: partial 16S ribosomal RNA
Rfam family: Bacterial small subunit ribosomal RNA
Source: RNAcentral